UACGGGGGGGGCAAGCGUUGUUCGGAAUUACUGGGCGUAAAGGGCCAGUAGGCGGCCAACUAAGUCGGAUGUGAAAUCCCCAGGCUUAACCUGGGAACUGCAUCCGAUACUGGAUGGCUUGAAUCCGGGAGAGGGAUGCAGAAUUCCAGGUGUAGCGGUGAAAUGCGUAGAUAUCUGGAGGAAUACCGGUGGCGAAGGCGGCAUCCUGGACCGGCAUUGACGCUGAGGAGCGAAAGCUAGGGGAGCAAACAGG
This 253-nucleotide ribosomal RNA is filed under the name uncultured bacterium. RNAcentral's name for it is "partial 16S ribosomal RNA". It matches the Rfam family "Bacterial small subunit ribosomal RNA", at positions 524 to 776 of the family's 1533-position model. The record is from RNAcentral.